RNAcentral lists this ribosomal RNA (426 nucleotides) under uncultured bacterium. RNAcentral's name for it is "bacterial SSU rRNA". It matches the Rfam family "Bacterial small subunit ribosomal RNA", at positions 28 to 453 of the family's 1533-position model. The record is from RNAcentral.
GAUGAACGCUGGCGGCGUGCCUAACACAUGCAAGUCGAACGAUGAAACCGCCCUCGGGCGGACAUGAAGUGGCGAACGGGUGAGUAACACGUGACCAACCUGCCCCUUGCUCCGGGACAACCUUGGGAAACCGAGGCUAAUACCGGAUACUCCUCGCCCCCCUCCUGGGGGGCCCGGGAAAGCCCAGACGGCAAGGGAUGGGGUCGCGGCCCAUUAGGUAGUAGGCGGGGUAACGGCCCACCUAGCCCGCGAUGGGUAGCCGGGUUGAGAGACCGACCGGCCACAUUGGGACUGAGAUACGGCCCAGACUCCUACGGGAGGCAGCAGUGGGGAAUUUUGCGCAAUGGGGGCAACCCUGACGCAGCAACGCCGCGUGCGGGACGACGGCCUUCGGGUUGUAAACCGCUUUCAGCAGGGAAGAAAUUC